Molecule: ribosomal RNA, 750 nt
Filed under: uncultured bacterium
Lineage: Bacteria
Description: bacterial SSU rRNA
Rfam family: Bacterial small subunit ribosomal RNA
Source: RNAcentral
GUCGAACGGUAGAGGGGGCAACCCCUCGAGAGUGGCGAACGGGUGAGUAAUAUAUCGGAACGUGCCCAGUCGUGGGGGAUAACGUAGCGAAAGUUACGCUAAUACCGCAUACGAUCUACGGAUGAAAGCGGGGGAUCGCAAGACCUCGCGCGAUUGGAGCGGCCGAUAUCAGAUUAGGUAGUUGGUGGGGUAAAGGCUCACCAAGCCAACGAUCUGUAGCUGGUCUGAGAGGACGACCAGCCACACUGGAACUGAGACACGGUCCAGACUCCUACGGGAGGCAGCAGUGGGGAAUUUUGGACAAUGGACGCAAGUCUGAUCCAGCCAUUCCGCGUGCAGGAUGAAGGCCCUCGGGUUGUAAACUGCUUUUGUACGGAACGAAAAGGUUUCUAUUAAUACUAGGAGCUCAUGACGGUACCGUAAGAAUAAGCACUGGCUAACUACGUGCCAGCAGCCGCGGUAAUACGUAGGGUGCAAGCGUUAAUCGGAAUUACUGGGCGUAAAGCGUGCGCAGGCGGUUAUGUAAGACAGAGGUGAAAUCCCCGGGCUCAACCUGGGAACUGCCUUUGUGACUGCAUAGCUAGAGUACGGUAGAGGGGGAUGGAAUUCCACGUGUAGCAGUGAAAUGCGUAGAGAUGUGGAGGAAUACCAAUGGCGAAGGCAGCCCCCUGGGAUAAUACUGACGCUCAUGCACGAAAGCGUGGGGAGCAAACAGGAUUAGAUACCCUGGUAGUCCACGCCCUAAACGAU